Molecule: long non-coding RNA, 504 nt
Filed under: Oryza sativa Indica Group (long-grained rice)
Lineage: Eukaryota; Viridiplantae; Streptophyta; Magnoliopsida; Poales; Poaceae
Description: lncRNA OsZS97_02G013020
Source: RNAcentral
ACCAACAGGUGGGACCCAGAAUUCCUUUUCUUUUUCUACCGAAUUAAUUUUCUUAGGGAAAAGCAAGGAGAGGGCCCGACCUGUCAGUGGCUCGGCUGGUCUUCUCCUUUCUCCGUCUCCUUCUUCCUCCUGACCGAGCGGGAGCAGCAGGGGAAACACGAUGCGCACGGCAAGGCCGGCCGAGGACGACCCGACGGCGGCCAGGGAAGGGUGCGGCAAGGCUCCGGCGAUCUCCCGCCGGCUGCCACGGCGCAGGACGGCGCGGGGGCGAGUGGCAGCAUGGCCGCCAUGGCUGGGCACGGAUGGAGAGGAGGAGCUCCAGGAUGGCUUGUCCACGGCGAGCUCGCCGGCGGUGGAACGACGGCCGAACCGGCACGGCUUCGGUUGCUAAUUGGCGAAAUUAAAGGGGGCUCUAGUUUCUACGGAACUAGGAGAGGCCAGAGGAGCGAGGACUUACCGAGGGGUGGAGGAACGACGAAGUUCGAUGUCGCGGCCGUGGAGUAG